UCGUAUAACCGAGGUGCGAGGGCUGUCGCUGACCUUUUUGGCCGUGCACGCCCGAGUGCUCUCACACAAUCCAUCUCACCCCUUGUGCACCACCGCGUGGGUUUCCUUUCUGGCUUUGUCUGGAAGGGGGGCUCGCGUUUUCACACAAACUUGAAGUAGUGUAGAAUGUCCUUCUUUGCAAUAACAUGCAAUCAAUA
This 197-nucleotide unclassified non-coding RNA is filed under the name uncultured Russula. RNAcentral describes it as "sequence contains ITS1". Lineage: Eukaryota; Fungi; Basidiomycota; Agaricomycetes; Russulales; Russulaceae. The record is from RNAcentral.